AGAUUAAGUUAUUAAGGGCGCACGGUGGAUGCCUUGGCACUAGAAGCCGAUGAAGGACGUUACUAACGACGAUAUGCUUUGGGUAGCUGUAAGUAAGCGUUGAUCCAGAGAUUUCCGAAUGGGGGAACCCAGCAUGAGUUAUGUCAUGUUAUCGACAUGUGAAUUCAUAGCAUGUCAGAAGGCAGACCCGGAGAACUGAAACAUCUUAGUACCCGGAGGAAGAGAAAGAAAAAUCGAUUCCCUGAGUAGCGGCGAGCGAAACGGGAAGAGCCCAAACCAACAAGCUUGCUUGUUGGGGUUGUAGGACACUCUAUACGGAGUUACAAAAGAACAUGUUAGACGAAUCAUCUGGAAAGAUGAAUCAAAGAAGGUAAUAAUCCUGUAGUCGAAAACAUAUUCUCUCUUGAGUGGAUCCUGAGUACGACGGAGCACGUGAAAUUCCGUCGGAAUCUGGGAGGACCAUCUCCUAAGGCUAAAUACUCUCUAGUGACCGAUAGUGAACCAGUACCGUGAGGGAAAGGUGAAAAGUACCCCGGAAGGGGAGUGAAAGAGAACUUGAAACCGUGUGCUUACAAGUAGUCAGAGCCCGUUAAUGGGUGAUGGCGUGCCUUUUGUAGAAUGAACCGGCGAGUUACGAUCUGAUGCAAGGUUAAGCAGCAAAUGUGGAGCCGCAGCGAAAGCGAGUCUGAAUAGGGCGUUGAGUAUUUGGUCGUAGACCCGAAACCAGGUGAUCUACCCUUGGUCAGGUUGAAGUUCAGGUAACACUGAAUGGAGGACCGAACCGACUUACGUUGAAAAGUGAGCGGAUGAACUGAGGGUAGCGGAGAAAUUCCAAUCGAACUUGGAGAUAGCUGGUUCUCUCCGAAAUAGCUUUAGGGCUAGCCUCAAGUGAUGAUUAUUGGAGGUAGAGCACUGUUUGGACGAGGGGCCCCUCUCGGGUUACCGAAUUCAGACAAACUCCGAAUGCCAAUUAAUUUAACUUGGGAGUCAGAACAUGGGUGAUAAGGUCCGUGUUCGAAAGGGAAACAGCCCAGACCACCAGCUAAGGUCCCAAAAUAUAUGUUAAGUGGAAAAGGAUGUGGCGUUGCCCAGACAACUAGGAUGUUGGCUUAGAAGCAGCCAUCAUUUAAAGAGUGCGUAAUAGCUCACUAGUCGAGUGACACUGCGCCGAAAAUGUACCGGGGCUAAACAUAUUACCGAAGCUGUGGAUUGUCCUUUGGACAAUGGUAGGAGAGCGUUCUAAGGGCGUCGAAGCAUGAUCGCAAGGACAUGUGGAGCGCUUAGAAGUGAGAAUGCCGGUGUGAGUAGCGAAAGACGGGUGAGAAUCCCGUCCACCGAUUGACUAAGGUUUCCAGAGGAAGGCUCGUCCGCUCUGGGUUAGUCGGGUCCUAAGCUGAGGCCGACAGGCGUAGGCGAUGGAUAACAGGUUGAUAUUCCUGUACCACCUAGUAUCGUUUUAAUCGAUGGGGGGACGCAGUAGGAUAGGCGAAGCGUGCUGUUGGAGUGCACGUCCAAGCAGUAAGGCUGAGUGUUAGGCAAAUCCGGCACUCAUAAGGCUGAGCUGUGAUGGGGAGAGGAAAUUGUUUCCUCGAGUCGUUGAUUUCACACUGCCGAGAAAAGCCUCUAGAUAGAUAACAGGUGCCCGUACCGCAAACCGACACAGGUAGUCAAGAUGAGAAUUCUAAGGUGAGCGAGCGAACUCUCGUUAAGGAACUCGGCAAAAUGACCCCGUAACUUCGGGAGAAGGGGUGCUCUUUAGGGUUGACGCCCAGAAGAGCCGCAGUGAAUAGGCCCAAGCGACUGUUUAUCAAAAACACAGGUCUCUGCUAAACCGUAAGGUGAUGUAUAGGGGCUGACGCCUGCCCGGUGCUGGAAGGUUAAGAGGAGUGGUUAGCUUCUGCGAAGCUACGAAUCGAAGCCCCAGUAAACGGCGGCCGUAACUAUAACGGUCCUAAGGUAGCGAAAUUCCUUGUCGGGUAAGUUCCGACCCGCACGAAAGGCGUAACGAUUUGGGCACUGUCUCAACGAGAGACUCGGUGAAAUCAUAGUACCUGUGAAGAUGCAGGUUACCCGCGACAGGACGGAAAGACCCCGUGGAGCUUUACUGUAGCCUGAUAUUGAAAUUCGGCACAGCUUGUACAGGAUAGGUAGGAGCCUUUGAAACGUGAGCGCUAGCUUACGUGGAGGCGUUGGUGGGAUACUACCCUAGCUGUGUUGGCUUUCUAACCCGCACCACUUAUCGUGGUGGGAGACAGUGUCAGGCGGGCAGUUUGACUGGGGCGGUCGCCUCCUAAAAGG
This 2298-nucleotide ribosomal RNA is filed under the name Staphylococcus epidermidis. Its description in RNAcentral is "partial 23S ribosomal RNA". It matches the Rfam family "Bacterial large subunit ribosomal RNA", at positions 1 to 2297 of the family's 2925-position model. Lineage: Bacteria; Bacillati; Bacillota; Bacilli; Caryophanales; Staphylococcaceae. The record is from RNAcentral.